Molecule: long non-coding RNA, 830 nt
Organism: Mytilus californianus (California mussel)
Lineage: Eukaryota; Metazoa; Mollusca; Bivalvia; Mytilida; Mytilidae
Exons: 2
Source: RefSeq, a predicted model, not a curated record
UAUUCAGAUACUGAUUUUCAAGUUUUAUACACAAGUUGAAAGAGUGUGUUUGCUGCAAAAAUGUUACUUACAGUUGACUAUUCAGUCUCAUUUUUGAAGGAACCAGGUGUUUAGGCUGUUUAGUGUCUGUUGUUUGAUUAUCACUCAGAACUUUUACAGCAUCAUUGUAUUCCUGUGAAUUUGGACGUUUGAAAUCAGAAGAAAAAGAACAGUUUCCACUUGAUUUCUAAGAAUCCUUGUGUAUUGGAAAGUGUUUAUGUCCCUUCUGAAACACUUUUUUUUGCUUUGAACGAUUUGUUAUGAAACUUCGACGAGAAUAAACCAUUUUAAAUUAGAAACGACUAUCACUUUUUCAACUUGUUUGUAUGAAAUGGAAAGGAAUUUAUGAUGGGUCAAUUUGACAAAGUAGAGUGCAAUAAGAAUUAAAAAUAGAAGGGAUACAGUUUCAACAUCUCUGAAUCAUAUGUUUUGAUAGAUUUGGAACUUUAUGUCCUGUGCUGAGUCAUCUUAAAGAGGUUGAUAGAUGCUGUCAAAAUAUUUACUAAUUACCUCCCUUUGACUGUCAUAUAUUAAAUCUAACAUAAUAAAUCAAUGUGAGGUAUAUGAAUGUAACAUUAUAUAACACAAAAAGCAAUUUAUUUUUUAGUUCAAUGGACUUUUUUUAACAUAUGGGUACAUGCCUUGGAUAAAAUUAUACUUUUAUUACAUAUUUUGAACUGAAAAUCUCUGGAAAUUUGAAAAGUGGGGUAAUAUUUUUUAUAUUUUUUCAUAGACAUGUAAUGUUCUUGGCCUUUUUACAUGUUUUCUUUUAAUAAAAUUUACUACAUAAU